This is a long non-coding RNA of Aphis gossypii (cotton aphid), 842 nucleotides long. RefSeq lists it as uncharacterized. The record is from RefSeq and is a predicted model, not a curated record. The transcript is spliced from 3 exons. NCBI's taxonomy places the organism in Eukaryota, Metazoa, Arthropoda, Insecta, Hemiptera, Aphididae.
AUUCGAAGUGAGUACACGUAUUAGUUAUUUUAACCUUUUCGCGUGUAUUUUUUAUUUGUUUUUAGGUUAACUGUAAUAUGUCAUUUUACUUUUUACUUAAUUAAUAAUUUAAUAUUAAAUGUUAUAGCUGAUUAUGUUCAGUUUCAGAAACUGUACGGUGAUGGUCAACACCGACCAAAAAUGCCAAAAAAGAUGCUAUAAACUGAAGCACAAAAGGCCAUCUGGCCCGUGAUUGUACGUAUAUUUUGUAAUUAUAAAUAUAUUAUUAUAUUAUUGCGCGGGGGAUGGCGGCACUUAUUCUCCGGACACCGUGACUUGCCCGAAGAAAAAUGUCACCCGGUGACCGCGAAUCGAACCAGCAACCGGCUGCGCCGCAACGACGCCUUAGACCGCACGGUCACCUCGUCCCCCAAUAUUAUUAAUUAAUAUUGAUUGUUAAAAAUAUGAUUUAAAUACAGGACAGAGAAGAAUGUCCAAGCGAAUAAAUAAAAUAUAAUCAAUAUAUUCUUUAAGAGUUUUCCUGGUGUCUAUAUUUAUAUUAAUAUAAUAUGAGUAUCUAAUAAUUAAAUAAUAGUAUCAGUUGUAGUAGUGCAACUUCAAUGUAUCAUGUUUGUAAAGGAAAGUAUAAAUUUGAUCAAAUUACUUACAUUACAAUUACAGGUAUUUGUGCAGCUCAUAGGUUAACAUAAUAAUAAUAAUGAUGUGUUAACAUGUGUGUUUUAAGUACCAUUAUAAUUAUGUUGAGUGUUGGCACCGUUGGUAUUGUUAUAGGUAUUUUUUUAUUUUUUGGUAGUAGCAUAAAUAUUUAAUACAUGUAUGUAUGCUUAUUCAGCUUAUUGUAA